GUCCAUUAGAUAGCUCAAAAUCUGAAAAGCAGUUCCCCAUCUCUCCCAUUCACCUCUCAACAGCAGAGUGCUGGGCUGAGCUGAUGACAGUCCUGGUAGGCAGCGGGUUUUUCUGGUUGAUGGAGACCUGACAUUUGUCUGGGCAGCAGAAGGCCACUGACUGCCAGGGGGAGAUUAUGUAGCCUGUCAUUAAUCCAGGGCUGUGCUCACGCUUCCAUCUGUGCAGGAAUGUUUCUGGAGCAGCGCUCGUGGAGCCUUCCCGGAGCGCGCGGGCACCGUCUGCCUCCCGUGCUGGAGGGGCAGAAAUUUCAAGGACAGGCCUCGGAGCAGUGGAGUGGCAGGAAGGAGGUGGCACAAGGAGAUGGAAUUACCAGGGGAGUUCCCCAAAAACUCAUUCCCAAAUCAGUUUGUGUGACAUGUGAAGCAUUUGCAACAGAGAAGAACAUCAACUCUGGGCUUAGCAAAAAUUACCUGCAGCUCUUGGAUCAGUGCCUACAUUUCAGAGUGAUCCCAUUUCUUGGCUGGGAAGAGGACCUGAAGAACACUUUGCCUUGAAAAGCACCACAGAAUCCCACAGCCACAGCAGGAGCUGUUUCAGCUGAAACUAUGGAAAAUCAUUCUUUCUCCUCCUCUUUUUCCUCCUCCUUCUUUUCUCUCCCAUAGAGAUGGGCUGACAGAGCUGUUCAGCCUGGAGAAGAUAAGACUCUGGGGAGACCUGAGAGACUCUUCCAGUGCCUAAAGGGGCUCCAAGAGAGCUGGAGAAGGACUUGGGACAAGGGCCUGCAGGGAUAGGACAAGGGGGAAUGGCUUCCCACUGCCAGAGGGCAGGGUUGGAUAGGAUACUGGAAAGGAAUUUUUCCCUGUGAGGCUCCUGAGGUCUUGGCAGAGGUGCUCAGAGAAGCUGUGACUGCCCCUGGAUCCCUGGAAGUGUCCAAGGCCAGGUUGGCUGGGGCUUGGAGCAGCCUGGGAAGGGGAAGGUGUCCCUGCCCAUGGCAGAGAGUUGGAAUGAGAUGAACUUUAGGGUCCUUCCAACCCAAACAAUUUCAUGAUUCUCUGAACUGACACAUGCCCAUGGCUCCCUGGCUGAAGAGGAACAGAGGCAGAAAAGCAGGCCCACAUUUUCGAGGCUACUCCACUAAAUUAAAGGAAACCACAAACUGAACCUUGAGCCUCAGAAAAUCCAGCUGCAGUGCUCGGCUUUGCCUCUGGCUCAGCAGUAAGGCAG
Molecule: long non-coding RNA, 1225 nt
Filed under: Chloebia gouldiae (Gouldian finch)
Lineage: Eukaryota; Metazoa; Chordata; Aves; Passeriformes; Passeridae
Description: Erythrura gouldiae (Gouldian finch) lncRNA (ENSEGOG00005006454.1)
Source: RNAcentral